Molecule: non-coding RNA, 1190 nt
Organism: Lolium perenne
Lineage: Eukaryota; Viridiplantae; Streptophyta; Magnoliopsida; Poales; Poaceae
Source: RefSeq, a predicted model, not a curated record
GGUAUACCCAAGUGUGUAGAAUUUCCUAUUUGAUAACUGAGUGCUCGCUAAUCAGAAAAACAGAUGCAUCAAUGGAUCACUGUUCAAGGUCCUUUCUAGCCCUUUCCUUCGUGCUCUGUGGAAAACCAAAUGCAUUACAUUUUAGAAAUAUUUCCUGCGUCUAUCUAGAUUUUGAAUACUCCCACUGAAAAUGAAAUCAUUUCCCCUAGCCGAAAUAUUCUAGGCUGCAGCCAUGGUAAUCCCCACGCAAAAAGAAGCUGCAAGAACAUCUGAAAGAUUACGCCACGCCUAGCAGCAGAUAUGGAACAUGCAUUGGUUGCCAAUCACCAACAUCCAAGAUAUUAUACCCAGGCAAGGAAAUGUACAAUUUCACGGUAUACCAAAAUUAUAUAUCACCAUCGUACUUUUUCAGAAGAAACUUCUUUCUUUGUCCUAUAUAAGUUAACACUGGAAGUCAAAAUGAUCCGGUAUGAUCUUAUAACUUACCCUUAAUGAUGACCGACAUUUUCAAACAGGCUGGCCAUGGCACCCGGAGCUUCAAUAGUUGUCGAACACUGUGGCUGGACCCCCCUGCAGGGUUGCGAACUUUGACUCGGUCUUGGAUUUACCAUUCCCUGAAACAUUAUCCUAUGCCCCAAUAUCUGAAGACAUCAUCUUCGCCGUGUGGUGCUUGUGCAUUUUCUUGAGAUCUGCUGCAAGGUUCUUGAUGGAAUCACAAGAUUCUUUCGACAUGAGCGAUGCAAUUCCCUCGGACCAGUCUCCCGAGAGAACAAAGAGCGGUGGAGCAAGGUGUUCGCAAGCAUGCCAAACUGGAAUAGAGGAAUCCCAGUUCAGUGAUAAGGCUCAUCAAGGUAUGUUUUGCGACUCACUUAGAGAUGUAGAUGAGAUCUUUUUUUUUUUACAUCUAGCCGAGACAUAAUGGAAUGCUGCAUUUGGUGAACUUCCAACAUCAUUCUCCACAUGAUAUCUGCCUGUCAUAGCAUCAUGCACGAUAAUAAGUAUGAUACAUAAUUCAAUAUCUUAGUUUGCAUACAAGGGAAGUGAGGAAUAUUUAGCCAACAUAUUCAAUAUUUUCUGCAUAUAAAAUAGCCCAUCGAAAUAAAUACAUUAUUUAACCAUAACAGGUGAAAAUACAGUUUCAACAAUAGUUCUGAAGUCCUAGUAUGUAUUGUACAUAGUACUGAGAAAAU